RNAcentral lists this ribosomal RNA (375 nucleotides) under uncultured bacterium. Its description in RNAcentral is "bacterial SSU rRNA". It matches the Rfam family "Bacterial small subunit ribosomal RNA", at positions 521 to 896 of the family's 1533-position model. The record is from RNAcentral.
UAAGACGAACUGUCCUAACGUUGUUCGGAAUCACUGGGCUUAAAGGGCGCGUAGGCGGUCCGACAAGUCAGGGGUGAAAUCCUGCAGCUUAACUGCAGAAGUGCCUUUGAUACUGUCGGUCUUGAGGGAGAUAGGGGUGUGCGGAACUCACAGUGGAGCGGUGAAAUGCGUUGAUAUUGUGAGGAACGCCGGAGGCGAAAGCGGCGCACUGGAUCUCUUCUGACGCUGAGGCGCGAAAGCUAGGGGAGCAAACGGGAUUAGAUACCCCGGUAGUCCUAGCCCUAAACGAUGAGUACUAGAUUGUAGACUUACAUGGGUUUACAGUCGAAGCAAAAGUGUUAAGUACUCCGCCUGGGGAGUAUGGUCGCAAGGCUG